AAGAGCUGGCUCCAAAGAUUUCAGAGAAAAAUUGGGACUUGGUGGCCGAAGGUUAAAGAUUUGGUGGAGUGAUGUGACAUUUCGGUAUCGAGGGCAAACUGGAAUCUCCUGUGCUCUGAACUGUUUGUGCCGUAAUGCUCGCAGUGACUGAGAGGCACACGUAUGAUACAGCUGGAGAAAGCCACAAACAAGGGCUCCUCGAUGACCGAAGGGACGGCAGAAUCCAUCAGAGGAUGGGACUUGAU
This is a long non-coding RNA of Callorhinchus milii (elephant shark), 245 nucleotides long. RefSeq lists it as uncharacterized. The transcript has 3 exons. The record is from RefSeq and is a predicted model, not a curated record. NCBI's taxonomy places the organism in Eukaryota, Metazoa, Chordata, Chondrichthyes, Chimaeriformes, Callorhinchidae.